CGUCGCCGUCUAACAAUGCAAGUCGAGCGGAACGAGUUAUCUGAACCUUCGGGGAACGAUAACGGCGUCGAGCGGCGGACGGGUGAGUAAUGCCUAGGAAAUUGCCCUGAUGUGGGGGAUAACCAUUGGAAACGAUGGCUAAUACCGCAUAAUGCCUACGGGCCAAAGAGGGGGACCUUCGGGCCUCUCGCGUCAGGAUAUGCCUAGGUGGGAUUAGCUAGUUGGUGAGGUAAUGGCUCACCAAGGCGACGAUCCCUAGCUGGUCUGAGAGGAUGAUCAGCCACACUGGAACUGAGACACGGUCCAGACUCCUACGGGAGGCAGCAGUGGGGAAUAUUGCACAAUGGGCGCAAGCCUGAUGCAGCCAUGCCGCGUGUGUGAAGAAGGCCUUCGGGUUGUAAAGCACUUUCAGUCGUGAGGAAGGUGGUGUAGUUAAUAGCUGCAUUACUUGACGUUAGCGACAGAAGAAGCACCGGCUAACUCCGUGCCAGCAGCCGCGGUAAUACGGAGGGUGCGAGCGUUAAUCGGAAUUACUGGGCGUAAAGCGCAUGCAGGUGGUUUGUUAAGUCAGAUGUGAAAGCCCGGGGCUCAACCUCGGAAUAGCAUUUGAAACUGGCAGACUAGAGUACUGUAGAGGGGGGUAGAAUUUCAGGUGUAGCGGUGAAAUGCGUAGAGAUCUGAAGGAAUACCGGUGGCGAAGGCGGCCCCCUGGACAGAUACUGACACUCAGAUGCGAAAGCGUGGGGAGCAAAACAGGAUUAGAUACCCUGGUAGUCCACGCCGUAAACGAUGUCUACUUGGAGGUUGUGGUCCUUGAGCCGUGGCUUUCGGGAGCUAACGCGGUUAAGUAGACCCGGCCCUGGGGGAGUACGGUCGGCCAAGGAU
RNAcentral lists this ribosomal RNA (885 nucleotides) under Vibrio rotiferianus. Its description in RNAcentral is "bacterial SSU rRNA". It matches the Rfam family "Bacterial small subunit ribosomal RNA", at positions 40 to 873 of the family's 1533-position model. The record is from RNAcentral. Lineage: Bacteria; Pseudomonadati; Pseudomonadota; Gammaproteobacteria; Vibrionales; Vibrionaceae.